AACGAACGCUGGCGGCAUGCCUAACACAUGCAAGUCGAACGAGACCUUCGGGUCUAGUGGCGCACGGGUGCGUAACGCGGGGGAACCUGCCCUUAGGUUCGGAAUAACUCCCCGAAAGGGGUGCUAAUACCGGAUAAUGUCUUCGGACCAAAGAUUUAUCGCCUUUGGAUGGGCCCGCGUUGGAUUAGCUAGUUGGUAGGGUAAAAGCCUACCAAGGCGACGAUCCAUAGCUGGUCUGAGAGGAUGAUCAGCCACACUGGGACUGAGACACGGCCCAGACUACUACGGGAGGCAGCAGUGGGGAAUAUUGGACAAUGGGCGAAAGCCUGAUCCAGCAAUGCCGGGUGAGUGAUGAAGGCCUUAGGGUUGUAAAGCUCUUUUACCCGGGAUGAUAAUGACAGUACCGGGAGAAUAAGCACCGGCUAACUCCGUG
This 433-nucleotide ribosomal RNA is filed under the name uncultured bacterium. RNAcentral's name for it is "partial 16S ribosomal RNA". It matches the Rfam family "Bacterial small subunit ribosomal RNA", at positions 29 to 507 of the family's 1533-position model. The record is from RNAcentral.